Molecule: ribosomal RNA, 246 nt
Filed under: Enterococcus sp. HT4
Lineage: Bacteria; Bacillati; Bacillota; Bacilli; Lactobacillales; Enterococcaceae
Description: partial 16S ribosomal RNA
Rfam family: Bacterial small subunit ribosomal RNA
Source: RNAcentral
GGUGAGUAACACGUGGGUACCUGCCCAUCAGAAGGGGAUAACACUUGGAAACAGGUGCUAAUACCGUAUAACACUAUUUUCCGCAUGGAAGAAAGUUGAAAGGCGCUUUUGCGUCACUGAUGGAUGGACCCGCGGUGCAUUAGCUAGUUGGUGAGGUAACGGCUCACCAAGGCAACGAUGCAUAGCCGACCUGAGAGGGUGAUCGGCCACACUGGGACUGAGACACGGCCCAGACUCCUACGGGAG